AAAAAAAAAAAAAUUGAUGAAAAAAAUUUUCGGAGAAAAUUAUAUUGUGCUUCGUAAUAUUUGGUUUGUAGAAAAUGAAAAAUAAUCUUCAAUCACAUAUUGACCUAGGGAUAUAUUUUUUAGACACUUUUAUAUAAGUGCUUCAUUUAUGUCAAAAUUUUUUUAAAAAAUCUAUUAAGGGCUAAAUAUAAAACUCAAUCCAAUAAAAAAUAAAAAAAUUCUCUACUCAACCAACCACAUUUAGUCAACUCGGCCCGAUUACAAAAAAAAAGAAAAAGAAAAAUUGAUCAACAUCUCUCCCUUCUCCUCCUCCGCCGCCACAACUGACGAGAUAGGGUUCCGACAACUCGAGUUUGGCCGCGAGAAUCUAACAGAGACUAGAGAGGGUUACGAUCACCACGUAUCUUUUCGCCACAGAUCACAGAAAAAGUGGGUGCCAAAUAUCAAGGCGGCCCUAUCUAUACCGACCCCACAUAUAGCAAUAUUUUUAAAAUGUUUCGGUAAUUCAGCCAGCAACACUUUUUAACCUAUACCGAUAUUUAAAAUUGUCGAUAAUUCAGCCAGUAGAUGUUUGGUUGAACGAAAAAGAAAGAAAAAAUAAAUAAAAAAUUAUUAUAUGUAUUUUCUUAUGUUAUAUAUAUUAUAUAUUAUUAACAUAUAAUAAUUAUUACAAUAUAUUUAAUUAUUAUAAUUUAUAUUUAGAAAAAACUUCAAACCCGCUCUAUGGUUUCGCACUUUUUCACUUUAGUACGUUGUGGUUUAAAGUGUAUCAAUUUGGUGUCCUGUGGUUUCAUUUUUAUCUUUUCGGCAGCUUUUCGUUUAUAUUUCGUUAAAUUAUAUACAGAAAACUUCAUAUAUCAAACUAGGUUUCUCGAAUAUUUAUUUUAGCACCCUUUAAUUUUAAUUUUGUUACUGAUUUAAAAAAAUAGUGAAUUGAUAAUAAAAAAAGAAAAAUAAAACCACAUGACGCUAAAUUAAUACACUUUAAACCACAUGAUACUAAAGUGAAAAUGUGCGAAACCACAGGGAAUUUUUUAAAAUUUUUUCUUAUAUUUAUAAAUAAAAUAUUAUAUAAUAGUGUAUUUAUAUAAAAAAUAAAAUAAAACUAUAUAUAUAUAUAUAUAUAUAUAU
RNAcentral lists this long non-coding RNA (1131 nucleotides) under Ananas comosus (pineapple). RNAcentral describes it as "long non-coding RNA (ACOM_LNC006164)". Lineage: Eukaryota; Viridiplantae; Streptophyta; Magnoliopsida; Poales; Bromeliaceae. The record is from RNAcentral.